CUGUGACGAAAGUUCAACGGCCGCGGUACCCUGACCGUGCGAAGGUAGCGUAAUCACUUGUCUUUUAAAUAGAGACCUGUAUGAAUGGCAUAACGAGGGCUGUGCUGUCUCCUUUCUCCUGUCAAUGAAAUUGAUCUGCCCGUGCAGAAGCGGGCAUCAACGCAUAAGACGAGAAGACCCUAUGGAGCUUUAGACACCAAAGAAGACCGUGUUAAGACUCCUAAAAUAAAUGGAAAAAACAAGACGAGUCCUACUUAUUUGUCUUUGGUUGGGGCGACCGCGGAGAACAACAAAACCCCCGCGUGGAACGGGACUUACCCUGAAAUGAGGCCCACAGGCCCAAGAUCCAGAAAAUCUGACCAAAAGAUCCGGCUAUGCCGAUCAACGGACCCAGUUACCCUAGGGAUAACAGCGCAAUCCUCUUUUAGAGCUCACAUCGACAAGGGGGUUUACGACCUCGAUGUUGGAUCAGGACCUCCUAAUGGUGCAGCCGCUAU
Molecule: ribosomal RNA, 497 nt
Filed under: Proterorhinus semilunaris (tubenose goby)
Lineage: Eukaryota; Metazoa; Chordata; Actinopteri; Gobiiformes; Gobiidae
Description: partial 16S ribosomal RNA
Rfam family: Bacterial large subunit ribosomal RNA
Source: RNAcentral